RNAcentral lists this ribosomal RNA (430 nucleotides) under Selenomonas sp. oral taxon E39. RNAcentral's name for it is "bacterial SSU rRNA". It matches the Rfam family "Bacterial small subunit ribosomal RNA", at positions 28 to 428 of the family's 1533-position model. The record is from RNAcentral. Lineage: Bacteria; Bacillati; Bacillota; Negativicutes; Selenomonadales; Selenomonadaceae.
GACGAACGCUGGCGGCGUGCUUAACACAUGCAAGUCGAACGGAGCGAAUGAAAGCUUGCUUUUAUAAGCUUAGUGGCAAACGGGUGAGUAACACGUAGGCAACCUGCCGACAGGAUGGGGACAACAUUCCGAAAGGAAUGCUAAUACCGAAUGAAGUCGAGGGAGGGCAUCCUCCUCCGAUGAAAGAUGGCCUCUAUAUAUAAGCUAUCACCUGUCGAUGGGCCUGCGUCUGAUUAGCUGGUAGGUGAGGUAACGGCUCACCUAGGCGACGAUCAGUAGCCGGUCUGAGAGGAUGAACGGCCACAUUGGGACUGAGACACGGCCCAGACUCCUACGGGAGGCAGCAGUGGGGAAUCUUUCCGCAAUGGGGCGCAAAGCCCUGACGGGAGCAAACGCCGCGUGAGUGAAAGAAAGGUCUUCGGAAUCGGAA